GACGAACGCUGGCGGCGUGCUUAACACAUGCAAGUCGAACGGAAAGGCCCUGCUUUUGUGGGGUGCUCGAGUGGCGAACGGGUGAGUAACACGUGAGUAACCUGCCCUUGACUUUGGGAUAACUUCAGGAAAAUGGGGCUAAUACCGGAUAGGAGCUCCUGCUGCAUGGUGGGGGUUGGAAAGUUUCGGCGGUUGGGGAUGGACUCGCGGCUUAUCAGCUUGUUGGUGGGGUAGUGGCUUACCAAGGCUUUGACGGGUAGCCGGCCUGAGAGGGUGACCGGCCACAUUGGGACUGAGAUACGGCCCAGACUCCUACGGGAGGCAGCAGUGGGGAAUAUUGCACAAUGGGCGGAAGCCUGAUGCAGCAACGCCGCGUGCGGGAUGACGGCCUUCGGGUUGUAAACCGCUUUCGCCUGUGACGAAGCGUGAGUGACGGUAAUGGGUAAAGAAGCACCGGCUAACUACGUGCCAGCAGCCGCGGUGAUACGUAGGGUGCGAGCGUUGUCCGGAUUUAUUGGGCGUAAAGGGCUCGUAGGUGGUUGAUCGCGUCGGAAGUGUAAUCUUGGGGCUUAACCCUGAGCGUGCUUUCGAUACGGGUUGACUUGAGGAAGGUAGGGGAGAAUGGAAUUCCUGGUGGAGCGGUGGAAUGCGCAGAUAUCAGGAGGAACACCAGUGGCGAAGGCGGUUCUCUGGGCCUUUCCUGACGCUGAGGAGCGAAAGCGUGGGGAGCGAACAGGCUUAGAUACCCUGGUAGUCCACGCUGUAAACGGUGGGUACUAGGUGUGGGGUCCAUUCCACGGGUUCCGUGCCGUAGCUAACGCUUUAAGUACCCCGCCUGGGGAGUACGGCCGCAAGGCUAAAACUCAAAGGAAUUGACGGGGCCCCGCACAAGCGGCGGAGCAUGCGGAUUAAUUCGAUGCAACGCGUAGAACCUUACCUGGGUUUGACAUGGAUCGGGAGUGCUCAGAGAUGGGUGUGCCUCUUUUGGGGUCGGUUCACAGGUGGUGCAUGCCUGUCGUCAGCUCGUGUCGUGAGAUGUUGGGUUAAGUCCCGCAACGAGCGCAACCCUUGUUCACUGUUGCCAGCACGUUAUGGUGGGGACUCAGUGGAGACCGCCGGGGUCAACUCGGAGGAAGGUGGGGAUGACGUCAAGUCCUCAUGCCCCUUAUGUCCAGGGCUUCACGCAUGCUACAAUGGCUGGUACAGAGAGUGGCGAGCCUGUGAGGGUGAGCGAAUCUCGGAAAGCCGGUCUCAGUUCGGAUUGGGGUCUGCAACUCGACCUCACGAAGUCGGAGUCGCUAGUAAUCGCAGAUCAGCAACGCUGCGGUGAAUACGUUCCCGGG
Molecule: ribosomal RNA, 1343 nt
Filed under: uncultured bacterium
Lineage: Bacteria
Description: 16S ribosomal RNA
Rfam family: Bacterial small subunit ribosomal RNA
Source: RNAcentral